Molecule: ribosomal RNA, 138 nt
Filed under: uncultured eukaryote
Lineage: Eukaryota
Description: partial 18S ribosomal RNA
Rfam family: Eukaryotic small subunit ribosomal RNA
Source: RNAcentral
UGGUGGAGUGAUUUGUCUGGUUAAUUCCGAUAACGAACGAGACCUUAACCUGCUAAAUAGCCAGGCCGGCUUUUGCUGAUCGCCGGCUUCUUAGAGGGACUGUCAGCGUCUAGCUGACGGAAGUUUGAGGCAAUAACA